Molecule: ribosomal RNA, 487 nt
Filed under: Enterococcus faecalis
Lineage: Bacteria; Bacillati; Bacillota; Bacilli; Lactobacillales; Enterococcaceae
Description: bacterial SSU rRNA
Rfam family: Bacterial small subunit ribosomal RNA
Source: RNAcentral
UGCAAGUCGAACGCUUCUUUCCUCCCGAGUGCUUGCACUCAAUUGGAAAGAGGAGUGGCGGACGGGUGAGUAACACGUGGGUAACCUACCCAUCAGAGGGGGAUAACACUUGGAAACAGGUGCUAAUACCGCAUAACAGUUUAUGCCGCAUGGCAUAAGAGUGAAAGGCGCUUUCGGGUGUCGCUGAUGGAUGGACCCGCGGUGCAUUAGCUAGUUGGUGAGGUAACGGCUCACCAAGGCCACGAUGCAUAGCCGACCUGAGAGGGUGAUCGGCCACACUGGGACUGAGACACGGCCCAGACUCCUACGGGAGGCAGCAGUAGGGAAUCUUCGGCAAUGGACGAAAGUCUGACCGAGCAACGCCGCGUGAGUGAAGAAGGUUUUCGGAUCGUAAAACUCUGUUGUUAGAGAAGAACAAGGACGUUAGUAACUGAACGUCCCCUGACGGUAUCUAACCAGAAAGCCACGGCUAACUACGUGCCAGCAC